UGAGAAGUUAGACUUCAGCGGUAUCACCUUCCUUUUGUGCAGACGGCAGGAUUGUCAUCGCUAAUGAACUGUGUACGCAUGACGAGCUUCUCACCAGGGAUCUGAAGACGAGACACCAACUACAUUCUUGUUGUCAUCACUCCAGCUGGGGAAGCUGCACAACUAAAUGGGACUCCCAGACAACUUUGUGAUGUUUUAUUCAGGUAUGUGACACUGUUUUAUAAUAAUCCGUAAUCUGGGUUUUCUGGGUUUUACAGU
This is a long non-coding RNA of Gasterosteus aculeatus aculeatus (three-spined stickleback), 258 nucleotides long. The record is from Ensembl. NCBI's taxonomy places the organism in Eukaryota, Metazoa, Chordata, Actinopteri, Perciformes, Gasterosteidae.